GACGUGCAUGGUAAAAUGGAAGAACUUUUGAGUGGAAUCCGAGGCCGGCCAUGUGUGGAGGGCCUUCUUCCUUGCCUUGCCAUCCUCCUCGGGGCCCUUUGUGGGAACCAAACCCAGCCCUUUUGGGGGAGAAGCGGCACCCAUUACGGAAACCUGGAGACAUUUAUGAGAGUUGCAAAACUUAUCCGAAAGCCAUAGAGCAGUCGUUCCCAACCUUUAAGAGACUGUGGACCACAGAGGCAAAAAUUGGGUACAUUGUGGACUUUUGAGCUCAAUCAACCCAUCUUCCUGCCACUGCACACAAAGAAAUUAAAUGAGUUAUUAUUAUUUUGUGAUAUACAGAUAAAACACCAUAAUGAGACUUAGAAAAAUUAAUGAUUUUUGCACAUGUAUUUCUUUCAUUAGGUGGGGAAAGCUUGGAUUGAUACUAUUGCUCAAUGCCACAUGCAUGUCAUGGUAUUGAGUAAUAGUAGACUGGCUCUUGAUCAGGGCCGUAGCCAGAAAAAAAAUUCGGGGAGGGUUUUGAAAAUUUGGGGGGGGGGGUUGAACCCCUAAACCCCCCCCCCCAAGCUACAAACCUGUCAAUAUCUGCUUGAGAUAGUGCCAGGAGGGACUCUUAAUUUUUUGCAUCUCAUAGACUUAGCAUGGGGAUUUGGUUAACCAGUUAAAAUUCAUGAGUAAACCAGGUUCAACAGGCCUGCUCUUGAUAGUAGUAGACUCUCAGACUGGCUCUUCAAACCUGAGUACUAACAGGAGCCCAGGCUCCUGUUAGUACUAGGACUUUAAGAGCCAAUAUGGGAGAAUGGGCUCCUAAAAUUCCUCUUCUGCUGGCCCAGCCUCCUUUUCCCUCCCAACGAUGACCCAGUGAUGAAGCUUCCCUUGGACCAUGCCUUUACUGACCUGCUGGCUUUGGCGGCCUCCUCCUCCUUGCAGUUCAGACUGCAAAUGGGGCUUCCUUCCUUGCCUCAAAAGCA
Molecule: long non-coding RNA, 974 nt
Filed under: Anolis carolinensis (green anole)
Lineage: Eukaryota; Metazoa; Chordata; Lepidosauria; Squamata; Anolidae
Description: lncRNA (ENSACAG00000041597.1)
Source: RNAcentral